This 407-nucleotide ribosomal RNA is filed under the name uncultured bacterium. Its description in RNAcentral is "partial 16S ribosomal RNA". It matches the Rfam family "Bacterial small subunit ribosomal RNA", at positions 30 to 526 of the family's 1533-position model. The record is from RNAcentral.
AUUGAACGCUGGCGGCAGGCCUAACACAUGCAAGUCGAGCGGAGCGGCGGACGGGUGAGUAAUGCCUAGGAAUCUGCCUGGCAGUGGGGGAUAACGUCCGGAAACGGGAGCUAAUACCGCAUACUAUCAGAUGAGCCUAGGGCGGAUUAGCUAGUUGGUGGGGUAAAGGCCUACCAAGGCGACGAUCCGUAACUGGUCUGAGAGGAUGAGCAGUCACACUGGAACUGAGACACGGUCCAGACUCCUACGGGAGGCAGCAGUGGGGAAUAUUGGUCAGUGGGCGAAAGCCUGACCCAGCCAUGCCGCGUGUGUGAAGAAGGUCUUCGGAUUGUAAAGCGCUUUAAGUUGGGAGGCGUUACCUACAGAAAAAGCACCGGCUAACUUCGUGCCAGCAGCCGCGGUAAUUC